GAAACACCACAAACACUUUCAAUGCUGCAUUAACCUCCGCAUUUGUUACUGAUUUUCCAGGUGUGAAUGGUCUUGGUGUAUCUGUGGCACGGUUAGACAUAGCCAAAGGUGGAUCAAUCCCAAUGCACACACACCCUGCUGCCACUGAACUUCUAAUAAUGGUGGAAGGUCAAAUCACUGCUGGUUUUAUGACCCCAACUGCACUUUAUACCAAGACACUGAAACCUGGAGAUAUUAUGGUUUUUCCACAAGGACAGUUGCAUUUUCAGGUUAAUUCUGGAAACGGAAAAGCCACUGCUUUUCUGGCAUUCAGUAGUGCAAACCCUGGAGCACAACUACUUGACCUUCUGUUAUUUGGCAACACCUUGCCUUCUGACUUGGUUGCACAGACUACCUUCCUUGAUGUUGCACAAGUCAAGAAGGUUAAGGCUCGUUUUGGUGGCAGAGGCUAGGGUUUCUUAUGAAUCAACUCAUACCUAGUGUUUGUUUUAGUGAUAAUCGUCAGCAAUUAAUAAACUUGUGCAUUUGGGUGUGUUUUGCUUUCAUUUUAAGUUUGAUUCCAAACUUAUGAUUUGAGGGUUUGAAGUUUGACGAUGUAUAAAUAAAAAUUUUAGAGUUUAGUUUGAGUGCAUCAUUGAUUUCAAGAAAGUAAUUAAGAAAGAAAUCAAGAUGUUCACUUGAUUUCUUUUAUUAUAAUAAAAAUAAUAAUAUUUCAAACAAGAUAUUAAUAAAAAGUUUAAUACCUUGUUGUGUUUAUCCUUAAUUUUUUUAAUAAAUAUGAGUUACUAAUUAGAAUCAUUAGAUUAAAAGAAAACAAAUGAUAUAAAUGCAGGACUGGUAACUUCUUUAAUCUCUUAGAGCAACUUAAUCUCUUCUUUAAUAACAUAUCUAAAGUAUACAUACUAUGGCAGCGCUCUUGUUAUCAUUUAAAAUUUCCCCACUAUUAAUUAAUAAUGUCGUAUCGUCCACCUUAUUUUACGUUCUAGAUCUAUAUUUGGUUUAAAGAGAGGAGGAGAAGGAAAGAGGGGGAGAAAUUUUGAUUACACAUUUUGUUUUGUUAAGAGAAGAACAAAUGAAAGAUUUUAAUAGGAGGAAAAAUGAUCAUUUUCUUGUUGGGUUCAUAAGUGGAGAAGGGAUUAUAAAAAUUAAUUUACUUGUAUAUUUAUAUAAUUUUACAUUUCAACACAUAAGAGAGGGAUAUUUUAAUUAAUGCACUUCAGAUGUUUUAAAUCUUUUUUCUUUUUUCUCCUAAAAAUUAAACCAAAUAAUAAAAUUUUAUAAAAAUAUAUCCUUACCAUUCAUUUUUCUCCAUUUUCUUUCAACCAAGCAAAAAAAGAGAAAAAAAUAAUAAAUAUAAUAUAUAAUGUGACUAUGAGUUGACCCGGUCAAUGUCAAAACAACUGAAAUUUAGUAAUAUGUUUUAGAAUAUUCUUAUUUUGGUAAUUACUUUCUAAUAGUACCUCUACUUUGGUCAAUCUGCAGCCUUUAAUACAAUUACUUCUUACCUUUAAAUUUUUAGAUUCUCUUCCCGGUAACUAUUAAUGAAUAAAAAUAUUCAAACUACCCUUUUCAUCCUUCUCUUUUUUUACUUCCUAUUUUAAAAGUAAUAAAUAUAAAACGUAUUAAAUAAUAACAUAUUCAAACACACUAAUACCUUGUUUUACUUAUUUUAGGGUGGAUUCAGAAGGAAACAAGGGAGAGAAAAAAAUAAAAAAAGGAUAAUAUAAAUGUGAUAAAUGAUGUAACUGGUGAAUUGAUCCGGUCAAUGGUAAAAAUUAUCAAAAUUUUUAUAUAUAAUAUAUCACAUUUUAGUGAUUAAAUUCUAAAAGUGUCAUGUUUUGGUCAAUGAUUCCUUAAUGGAAUUACUUAAAGGACUUAUAUUAAAAUUUUCAAAUCUUUUGUUUUCGGUUUGUAAGAAUGACUAUAAACAUUUAGACAGUGAUCAUAUUGGAUACGAUGAUAUAUGAUAUCUUGUUUAAUUGUUUAAAAGCGGUAUGUUGUCUUAACAUAUGUUUACUGUUAUUUUUUAUUAUUUAGGUUCCAAAUUAAUAACAAAUUAUUAUUUACUUUUUGUUUUAUUAAUGAUGCGGGAACCUUACUUUACUGAAGAACAGAGUUUUGUUUAGGAGGCAUGGUGAAAAUUUCUAAAUUCUGUCAGUAACCUAAGUUGUAUUAGAAUUUUAUCUUCCAUAAGCUUGGCCUAUUGUUAGAGCUUGUGCUUGUAUAUCAGUUAGUUUGAUAGUAACACUGAUGAUCUCUUAAACAUCUGACAGGAAUUUGAAUGCUUGAAUUUAAAUUGUGUAGGAAGUGGUUUGUUGUCAUUUGAAUGCUUGAAUUACACUGUCUUCUGUAAAGUGUUUUUUCUAAAUAUAUUUUUUUAUCCAUGAUAGUCCAUUUAAUUUUUUUUACUGAAUCUGGAGAACAUGUCAGCCAUGCCAUUUUGAUAUGUUCAAUUGUCCAUUAAUUUCUGUCUGCUUUUUCUUCGAUUAUUGCUAUUUUUUAUUCCCAUGAUGGAGUUCUGGUUAUUCAAUUCAUAUUUCUGGCCUUCGUUUGGAUUUGACUAUUACAUGUUUAGAUAUGCUUAUUUUAGGGGCUCGAUUUAUUUUGGUCAUGAAGCUUUCUACUAAACCAUGUGAUGGCAUGAUGUGCACCUAAUUUCUUAGUGGAGUCCUUAUUUUACUCUUGACUGAUGCAUUUACCAGUUUGUCUUUAUUUUUUAUUUCAAAUUAGGUAUAUAGAAAGUAGAAGAAUAGGAGUAUCUUAGAAACAAUAAAAGAAAUUCCUAUUUGUGUUACAGACUUUUGAAUUUAAGUUGCCGAUAACUGAUUAAACUUUUGAAAACGUGCAAUUUAUAUUGAUUUAUACUUGAGAUAUCUCAGGCAAGUGUAUUUAUCUGAAAUGCCAAUGGUUGUGAUUUGUGAAUCUUUGCUUAAUUUCAUAGGAGCAUUGUUUGGGCGUUAUUAUGACAAGGAUUCAAAGGUGUAAACCCAAUUAUCAGCUAUUUGUUUGAUUGUUUGUGUAACCUACGGUCAUCAUCCAAGGGAGCAUCAUUUAUUUUGUAAGACAUGCAUGCUUUCUAUGUUAAUUUAUAAGUUUGUUUAAUUUUUUUUAUGAUUACGUAAAUUUAUUAUUUAAUAUAUCAUAUAGUAUUAAAAAUACAUUUACCAAUUCGAUGAUGAUUCAUCUCAAGAAUUUAAUGAGAUUUCAAAACAUAGAGAUAUAUAUGGAAAAUUAAAGUAAUUCCCACUGCUAGAGAGAUAUAUAUAUUUGCUAAUAAUAUAUACCGAAAAUUAAAGUAAGACUAAGAUAUUCUGUUUAUUUCUUUCUUUGUAGUUAGAUAGAUAUAAAAUAAUAAAUUAAAAAUGUAUGAAUUGUAUUGUUUUAUAGUGUGAUAAAAGGAGUUUCAAUAACUUGUAUUAAAUAUUAACCAAUAACCAGUAGUAGUACUUGUAAUUAAAACAAUAGUAAUAAUACAAGAAAAUCAAAUAAUUGGAUUAGGAUGUACUACAAAUGAGAAAAUAAUUUAUGCACUUUUAACUUGGCUUAUUUAUUUUAUACUCAUAAAUUGCUUGUUCGAUCAGGAUGUAACAAAUUACUAUUGUUGGCAUUUAAUUCAAGGAAAAUAACAUGAGAAAAUAUUUAAUAUUUUUUAUAAUUUUUCAUUAAUUUUAGGGUAUGAGAUGAUACCCAGUAAUGCAUACUAAAAAAAGUAAUCACUCAAAUUCAACGUUUGCAUUAUAGAUGUUCUUCUUUUUAAUAUUUUAAAUAAUACUUAUUUUUUCAAUUAUAAAGAUUAAUUUUUUUAAUAUUUUAAAAAUUAAAUAAAAAUUUCUAUAUUUUAAAAAUGAAUUCAAUAAAUUUAGAUAUUUUUUUAAAUUAAAAGAUCAUUUCAAAACAAUUAUUUAAAUAUAUAUAUAUAUAUAUAUAUAUAUAUAAUUAUUUUUAAAAUCAUAGUAAAUUCCCUAAAGAUUUUAUUCAACAAGAAAAUUCACAGAAAAUUACCUACGAAUUUUAUUCUGUAAGAAAAUCCACAAGUAACUUUAUGUUGAUAUUAAAAUAACCACCAAGCUUAAUUGACUACCUAGUACCCCUCCUCCAUAACGACAUUCCCCACCAAGAUAUCCUACUACACUACACUAACAGUGAUGAUAGCUUGUCACCGCCAGUGUAAAAAUAGAGUGGCCAGCUACUGUAUGCAAAAUUGCUGCAUGAGAACCACAUAACACUGUCAGAACUCAGAGAAGCCUGAGUAUUGGACGAAAGAGACUUGAAAGGAGGGAUCAGGCCGUAAAAACACAAUUCCUAUCAGGCACGGCAUUAUUGAAGACAACUUUAUUUCUCUUUUUCCAAAGGAAGAAGUUGACAGCACUCCAUAAAAUUUGCCCGCCCACAGAAGAAGUUUUAGAGAAUCCCAUACCUUCAUUUUGCCAAAAAAGAGCCUCAAUGGAUAAGACAUGUUAGAUUUUUUAAUGGAUCUGUAACACUACAACAUGUAGAACCUAAUUAUAAGACCGGAGCCAUACCUUGUUGAAAAGUGCAUGAGCAUUGCCAAGUUUUGGAAGAGCACCACAUUCCCUUUUUGAUUACAUAAGGUCAGAGUUCCAUUCAGGCAAAACUAAUUACAAGAAAUACAUUCAAAUUCAGCUAACUAUAAUGGGUUUAAUAUAUAUACCACUGACCAUAUAUCACUUGGCAUGGCCACGAUAAGCUUUUCUGUUACACUUACUGAGGAUUGAGGACCUGAUGUCCCAAAGGAAUCUGAUACAUGUGGAAUAGAAUCUUGCUUAGUCACAUCCAUUGUCACAAGCCCUACAAUUUCUAUUUCAUCCAAUUGACCAAUGUCGUGGAUGAGUGUGUACAUCAAUGUUAAUGUCUAUUGACAUACUACCCGCACUCCUUGGCCUCUCACGUGCCUGUAUUCUCGUUGGUUCUACUGGUCCUUUGUAAGUGCUCCUACUUCUUGGUGGUUGUCCCCUAUUUUGUACCCAAACCAAAAUGCAUGAUUAACAAAUUAAGUUGCACCACUUUUAGUUUUCAACAGAUAUAUAAUUUGAUUAAGUUGCUAGCUGAGUAACUUUCAUUCAUAAUUUGGCACCUUACUGAUCCACCUUCUGGUUCACUAGGUGGACAUGCCUGCACAGGAAGUUGUUGAGUGUGCAGGCAUCCAUUGCUACUCUUGAAAUCGUUUUUAUAUAUGUCUAUAUGUUUCUGUGUUGAAUGUGCAGGUUGUACAAACCGUAUAUUAUGUUAGGCUUCCCUAACAUAUAUAGCAGCCACCAAUGUUGACUGUUGUUACUAAUGUUGUUCUUUUGCAGUACAUGAAUUGGAUCCCAAAUUUGGUAAUAGUUUAACCUAAGACAGCAGCUGCAAAACUGGUGAUUGGCUUGUGCGUGACACCAAAACUGGUGAAAUGUUGACAAGAGCCUCCAGGUAGAUAUCAGUUUCAAGAAUCAUUUUUUUCUGUUGCCUAUAGACAUGUUUUGAAGAGUAUUUCUGAAUCUCAAUGUUUCACUCUGUUGAUUUGGCACUGCUUUUAAUCUCACGAGGCUAUGUGAAGUUAUCUAUUAUCAUUUUUACUUUAUCUUAAUACACCACUAUUGAAACACAAUUAAUUACAGAUUUAACCAUACAAAAUUUUGUUGAUGACAAUGUUUUAAUCUACCAACAGAAUUUUCGUACAUGCUUACAAAAGAAGGCAACAAGUGGGAUUAGGAAGAUGCAUGAUAUGACCAACACAGAGCAAUGAUGGAAAUUGAUAUCCCUACGUAUAACUACAUCAGACUAGCACAUACACAUACACAUACCAAAUACAUUAUAAGCAAAAACUUAUAGCAUUAAUAAAAAAAAAGCUCAAAUGAUGGUAUAAACUUGGAAGUACCUCUGAUUCCCUUUGCAGUCUGACUUUGGCAACUAAGAAACUAUGAAUACCAACCCAACAGUCAGCCUUCAAAACCUAAAAUUUUUUAGUCAAAAAUGGCAUAUUAGAAUAAAAAAUGCAUUUAUACGAGACAAAAGGGAAAAAAAUUCAACAAAAAACAGGAAAGGAACAGAAUUUGCACACAAAGAAAGGUGCAUGCUGAACAAACAACAAAAGUAUAAUGAUUCAUGUUCAUAUGUUUAACUAAAACUCAUAAAUAGAACUUCUGACAUUUGGACUUAAAUACAGUUUGUAAAAUUUGGGCUGCUCUCUAAUCAGCUGGAAAAAAAAUUUCGUGGGAUUCAGUUACGCCUUAAGUCUAAAUGAUUAUGACCAUGUUUAACUGCAUCUAAUUCUUAUAUAUAGUUGCUUUCAUUAAUUUAAAUUAAUUUGUUUUGGUUUUGUUUAUGUUUCAUAUCAUACCAUUCUGGAGGCAACAUAGGAACAGUACAUGUCAUGCCUAUAUAGACAUGAAACUUGGUACAAGGCUUCAUGGUGUCUUUCAAAAUUGUUAACUAUUAUUUGUUUGUGAUGUCAUUAGUCAAGUUCUGAUCAUAAUCUGGAGUUACUUUGUCACAGCUGAUAAAUGUUUAUAUGGCAAACUACUAGACCGGAGGACAAUUUUGGCCUACAGUGCACAACUACACAAUUUUUUUAUUUGUUUUCAUAAGUGGAGAUCCAUACAUCCUUCACACAAUAGUUUUCAGCCAAGGCAAGCGGGACAGGGAACAACAAUUCUAUGUACGGUUUGACCCAAGUGCAGGUUUCCAUAGUUAGUCUAUCAUGUGGAACCCACAGAGGAUUAUGUAAGUCCUUAUUAUCUACAAAAAUAGUCCAGUAUGUUUCCUUUUUUCUCUAUUCUAUCCUAUGAUCCUUAACAUAGUUUCUCAUACUCUCUUUAAUUUAGAUUCUGAGUUUUUUCUAUAUAAUAUGCUCAGUUAACUACAGUUGCUUCUCUAUAGAGGCAUAUGCUCAGUUUUUGUCAAUAAGAACUGCCCAUUAUGUCGUGAUUGGGGAGAUCUUGUUUCAUUCUCUUAGUUUUGGUACUGUUGGGGGCUUCAAGUACAGCUGAGUGCACAAGAGACAUAAGGGACUUCCAAAGCUUGUUUGGAAGCCAAUUACCAAAAGGGUCAGUGCCACCAUCUGGACCCUCUUCAUGUCAGAACAACCUUAGCCCUUACAAAUACAGCAAACCUUCAUUUCCAAAUUAUUACUAUAAUUUUUGUCCUUAAUAGCACUUGUCAAGGAUAGAAGCAUGCAUAAGAAAUAUAUGAUAUAUCUAGCUAAUUGUAACAUGAGUAGAUUGCAUAAUUCAACUUAAUCAUAUAUUUAAUUGAUUUCAGUUGUAAACAUUUUUUUAAGUGAUUAAUAAUGCACAACCUUAAGCAGUUAAGUUACAAAAACUAAAUAACCUGGCUUGCAUUUGGAAUAUACCUUGUCAAUCCACUGUCAGAAAGAUGAGGAUUCAAAUCUGUAUGAACCAAUAUGUAGGCUGACUUUAUAUUCUUAUGAAGAAAAGAUGAUGAACAAAGUUCAUGUAGGUACCUAGGAGAAAAACAAGUAGAGUUAGCUUCUUCAUUCUCAGGGCAAAAAUUUACAUUGAUGCUUGAAGUCCAAAAAUUUCACAUAACAACUUCAGCUUUAACAAUAACUAAUUGUAGUCAAGAUAUUAGAGUCUAUAUAAGCAAGUGGACAAUAGUUUCAUACUAGCUGCCACUAUUCUUAUAAUUAAAAGUUCAAUUGUAUCCCAAAGCUGAGUGGUGUGUGACAAUUGUCACACUUUAAGCCCUAAAAGCCUCCUAUGCAACAGGACAUGUUAAUAUUAAACCAUGCAAAGUGGCACUCUCACAAUGCAGCUCCAACCAUGUUCUUCAGUUCCUUCGCUACUUGGACCAGUUUGGGAAGACCAAACUGCACUCACAAGGGUGUUUGUUCUUUGGGCAAGCUGAGCCACUAAAGUGCACUCACAGUGCAGCUCCAACCAUGUUUAUGUCUUUUGUGCCUAUAUUAUAUAAUAUAAUAUAUAUUUUGCCUAUAUAUAGUUUUCUUUUCCGCAUAAUAUCUUGCUUCUAAUUUAGUGUUAUUGGUAAUCCCUUUUUGUGGCUUCCACAAAUAAAUCAACAAAUACCAGUCCAAUGGAUCAGAAUUCACUUAUAUAUAUGCAAAGAAUGUGAAUUUAUAUAUCAUUAUUAAUGUAAACAUUUUAUUGGUGAAUAUUAUCAACCUUAUUUGAAUCUUCAUGUCUGUUCUGAUAUUGUAAAUCUUUAUAUAUAAAAUGACUUCAACUUUUAUACAGACAAAAACAAAAAGAAUGAACAAAAAACAACAACAAUGCCUCUACCAAAAUCCUUGGUCCAAAAUAGGAAUGCCUCUACCAACUAUGUUGCUGAAUACAAUAAUUAUGUAUAUUAUUACAAUUUCCUUAAUGCAUAUGCUUCAGGUCGUUACAAAAUGAUUAGGCUACCUCUAUCUAUAAACACCCAAGGGAUUCAUGGAAUUGGUACCUCAUCACUACUUUGAACCAUUUGUAUAUAAUAUUACUAACAAAUUUAUGAAUGGCUUUUCUUCGAUCCACCUUCGUGACCUCAAUGGAUCUUUCAUAAAUGCUAGCCAUAGUCUGUGCAACUUACUAUUAUGGAUAUGGUCCAACACCAAAGCUUCAGACCCCCAAACCCAAAACAGAUUACAAAUUUGACAAACCACACCCCAGAAUACCCAGAUUACUAUGUAGUGCCCAAACCAAAAGGAAACGAUGAACUACAUCUGCUUCCCACAAUCAUUGGUGUCCAAGGAAUUGAAAAUAGAAGCUACCCUAACACAGAUAUCCUUUUUUUGUUAAACCUUCAAACUUCUAGCCUAAAAAACCCAGAGCCUAAAAAUACGUACAAAAUUCUGCCAAAAAUGUUAUACAAUGCUCCAUGCUCACACAAAAUAAUGAGCACAUUACUAGAUGCAACAUUAUUCACCAAAGACCACAAACAAGAUUCAACUACAGAGUAUUUCUUUCAAUACAUUGGCAGCAGACACCAUAGCAGUCACAAACGUUGGAGUACAAAGAAAUGUACCUCUAUGGCGAUACCCACGCACCGAGUAGCGACGAAUGAGGCAGGAGACUUCUCUAGGUCACAAAACAACCUUCCCAACACGAGCGAGGGUAGUAAGAAGGAAUGCUUAACGCAGUACUCGGGAGGGGAGUAAGAAGAGACGAUGGUAAAUGGGAGAUAGGUACGACCUAGGGUGCGCGCGUUAAGAAAACAACGACGGUCUGGUGCAGAAGACCGUCUUCAUUUUUCCCAAAAAUAAUUAUGAGAUUGCCACUAAGAACCGAUUUACGAUCGGUCCAUAUAACCGUCCUUAGAAUGACAGAGUCAUACAAAACUUAUCCAUGCAAAUAAUUACAAAAAAUAUCACUGUGUAUAUGUUCCUCAAGAAUCAUCUUAAAAUUAGCAUCAUAAAUCAGCUUUUUUUACUAGUGGAUCUCAAAAAUUUUAACGACUGAAUUAGAAUAUUUCAAUCACUAAACACUACUUCUUUUUAGUGGAUUCUACAGAUUUUGCAUUUAGUACUUAAUAAUUUUUUAUUUAUUUUUAAUAUCUGAAAAAUUUACAAAUUUUGCAUUUAUCCUUGAAAUGUAUUUUUUGGUAUUUCACCUCUAUCAUUACAUUGGCUCUAUUAAGUUGUUCCUAAUAUAUUUUUUCUUUUAGUCUAUUUUUUUUCCUGAAAUUAUCGGUAUGUCUUUUUCAUUAGAAGUUAACGUCUCAAGUUAACAAAGUCAAUAUAAUGAUAGGGAUUAAAUAUAAAAUAAAUAAAUACAAAUUUAAAAUAACAAUUAUGAUUGAUGUAUAAAAAAAUUUACAAAUAUAUAUGAGAAAAUUUGUUUUAAAUAUAAUAUUUUGAUUUUUUUUUCUACACUAUUUUUCCUUAUAUUUUUUUUACAUUAUAUUUUUUUAUAACUACAGUUAUCAUAUCUUUUUUUUUUUCUUUUAACUUUUCUCCUGUCUUUCUUUUAUUCUUUAUCAUCUUUUUACCCAAAUAGCAUCUAUUAAGAUGUGUGAAAAAAGGAUUUAAAUUAAUAUCUUUUUAUUCAUUUAAAUUCGGAUAAUUUUUUUAUAUUCCAAACUAAAAAGUAUUUUUAGUCUCAUACUUUGGAAAUAAUUAUUUUUUAGUCCCUAAUUUGUGAUCAUUGUAGUCCCUGAUAAGGAUUAAAUGAAUUAUUUUCAAAUUAUGAGACUAGAAAAUCACUUUUAAAUUUGAAAGACAAAAUAAAUUUGGCAAUUUAAAGAAAGAAAAAGAUAUUUAAGUUCAAAAAAAAAACUUUAGUUCUAGAUCAAUUCUUGUAAAGAGAAAGCAUUGGUAAUUAAAUUAAAUGUUGUCAUUAUCUAGUUAGGCCUUACAGAGUUGAUAUAUAGUCUCAUGAAUAUUGAUAUUGAUUUGCCAAACUAUGACAGCAUUAAUUAAUUUGGCAUGCAUCAUAAAGAGUAAGUAUUAAUUAAUUUAAAGCUCCAAAAAUAUUUAAAGCAUCGAAUUAACUUUAAGUUAGACAUUAAAUUAGUAGUUAAUAAUAUAAAAUUAAAUAUUAAUGUAAGGACUAAAAAAAUUAUAUCCUAAGUAAGAAGCCAGAGAGCUAAUUUAGAAAAUGAUGGGUAUGAUAAUAUCUUGUCUAUAUAUUUUAUAUCUAUUACAUAAUAUAUAUAUAUAUAUAUAUAUAUAUAUAUAUAUAUAUAUAUAUAUAUAUAUAUAUAUAUAUAUAUAUUAUUUAUGUUCGAUAUAAUUUUUUAUAUAUCUUCACACAAAAUUUUGACAUAUAAAAUUAAAUUAAACAUAUAAUAUUGAUUAAAAUAUUAAAAAAUAAAUUAAUAUUAUUCAAAUAUUUUUUUAAAUGUGUAAUAAGAAUAAUAUUAAAAAUAAUUAAAUUUAUAAAUAUUACAUUUUAUAAAAAAAAGAAACUAAUAUCAAUUAUUUAAGCUUGUUGUCUCAACUUUCAAGUCUCCUCAAGAAAUAGGUGGAACAACUAGUUAGCUCUAAUGAAAAACGUUCUCAAUCUCUCAUGUUUUUAUGAAAAGGCAAUGCUUGUUUAGAUAGCCAGUUUUGCUUCCCAUGGUUUUGCUAUUGACAUUUUGUUUGGUGGAAUUUCAUUCCUACCUUUAUUUCAAUAGAAAUAGAAUAGGUAUUCCUAACUACAAGUUUUCAUAGUUAUUUCAAUAUAAUACCUAACUGUGUGUGUGAUUAUAAAAAAAUGUUAAAAUUAUUACACAAAUAUGUGUGUAAUUAUAAUAAAAUGUUAAUUAAUAUUGUUAGACAAAUGUGUAUCAUAGAUGACUUUUUUUAUGUGGGAGCAACAGAAAUAGACAUUUACUAUUAGAUCUUAUCAUCAACGAUCAAGAUUAAAAAAAUAAAACCAUCAAAAUCAUUGAACACAUUGAUCAACUAACACUCACAUUUAUUCUAACUUAACUAAUUAUCUUCGGUUCAAAUGAUAUAUUUAUACUAAAUAUAUGAGAAAAGUUUUGUUACUCAUAAUAAUCUUACUUCUUUUGAAUAUGAUUAUUUCUCCAAUAUAUACAUGUGAUAGUAUAAAAAAAAUAAAAAUAAUUAUUUUUAAAAAAAUUGUCUAGGUAACCCAAACUAAAAUUGGGAUUAAACAAUCUUAUCCUAGAUGACCCAAUAAAAUUAAAACAACUGUAUUAAAAGUUGGAUUCACAUGUUUAUAUUUUUUAUACACAAAAUUUUGACUGGUUAUAUAUUCUUCUCAUUAUCUUCUACCAGUUUUAAAUUAUGUCCACUUUUUAGAUUUUAGAUUUUUUUUUCUGCAAUUGUUUCUAUACCUUCUCUUACAAGAAAAUGAUGAGAUUUAAUUUUCUUCAUCCAAUAUUGCAUCCAUUAGAGAAACUCCUUUCCAAACACAUUUAUUUAUUUAAAAGGCAAAAGCAACAUUAUUAAUAAACCAAUACCACAAGAGGUGCUUGACUUAGAAAAAAAACACUAUUAUACACAGUAUAGAAAAAGAUGUUCAGCAAACAUGGUGCCUUGACAACAAUAAAAGCACAGCCUGGUUUAUGUUAUUACUAUGCACACCACAUUUGUAAUCUGAUCAAUCGGGAUACCACGUCUAUAAUCCUAAUUGGGAUUCCACAUCGUAGGGUUGUUUCAAAAAAAACUUGAAAGCAAAGAGGAAAAAAGGAUCGAAGAGGAUGAAUGUUUUUUUAUCAACCAAAUUAAAAUUUUAUUCACAAAGGUACCAGUGGUUUAGGGUUUAAAAUUAGUGGUACCAGUAAAACAAAAAAAAAAAAAAGGAACAAACCAAAGCGUGCCUCCAAGUCACCGAAAGAGAAAGAAAAACAAUAUUUGCUAUCUCAAUCAUAAUUCAGCACACAAAACCUAAAACAUAAAUAACCUCCAAUCAAAAUCGAGAACCCCUUCCCAGUAAAAGCCCUUAAUCAGAAUCUUAGUUUAAUUGUUUAUGUAUCCCUUCACAAUGAAUCUUGUCGCCAACACUCCGCGAAAAAAACGACGAACGUGGUGGUGAAAGGGUGAAAUUCGGUGGUGACAAAGAUGUACGCGUGUUUGGGAAUGCAAGAGCGCAAUUUCAGAUUAAAUGUAAUUUGUAAAAAAUAAUAAGAAGAAUAUAAAAUUAGUCAAAGAUUUGUAUCAAAAGAAUUUAAAAAAUGAACCCAAUCCAUAACACACUUGUUCUAAUUUUAUUGGAUCAUUUUGGAUUGGGUUAUGUAACCCCAUUUCUACUUAGGUAUGUUAGAUCACCCCUAAAAAAUCACAUAAUUUUUUAAAGUGAUCAUAUUACUUUCUAAGUGGUAUCUUUUUAUACAUAAAAAAGUGGUAUCUUUUUAAGUGAUUAAAAAAAUGUGACUAUCCAUCUAUGAAUAUAUAGAACAAAUUUAUAUCAUCACUUGAAGUAGUAUUGUCUAAGAGUUUAUUAUACUCUUGUUCUAUUUUACGCAACUCUUAUAUUAUAUCUGAUUUUGUUUUACCAUAUCUUUGCCACCAAACGAACCUUAAAAGACUAAAUUGAAAUUGAAAACAUUUUAAAAGCUAACAUAAUUUCUCACUGUAUGUUUGAAUGACCAAUAGUAGCCUUCCUAAUAUAUUAUUGAAAACAAUCCAAACAAAUCGCAUGCCUUCUUAUCUUGUCCUUUUUUAUUGUUUUUCUAAAAAUAACUAAUGUAGAAUUUCUUUAAUAAAAAAUAUAAAAUUUCUUAAAUAAAAUGGUAACGUUUCUUAAAUUAAUACAAACGAGCAAACGUGAAAGAGACGGUAGUCUCAGCUUUUCUAAGGUUUUGAUAUAGUUAUAUUUUUUUGGACCAAUGGUUGAAUAAGAUAGUUACACACCAACAAGAGAGAGGAAGAGUGAGAGAGCUUCAUCCAACUACGUACGGGCAUUGGAACUCUUUUUCUUGCUAUCUUAAUUACAAUGUUAAUCUCCCUCCUAAUUGCGUUAAUUUGAAGGACUUGCAUAUAUAGUUGCAUUAAUUUAUACCUAACUCAAGAUCAUAUCUUACCCUAUAAAUAGCUAGCCAAUGCAUCGUUCCCUUAUGCCAAAUCCUUUUCAUUCAAGAUGAAGAUGAUUCGCAUUCUUUUCAUCUUUGCUCUUCUAUCCUUCACUUCCCAUGCUUCUAAUGUCAAUGACUUCUGUGUGGCAGACCUGAAGGGUCCAGAUAGCCCUACUGGCUAUCACUGCAAGCCACCUAAAACAGUAACAUCACAUGACUUUGUGUUCCAUUUAGGCCCUGGAAACACUUCAAACGUGUUCAAGUCCGCAAUAACCUCUGCAUUUGUCAAAGAUUUUCCUGCUGUCAACGGUCUUAGCCUUUCUGUAGCACGCAUUGACAUAGCUCAAGGGUGGAGUGGUUCCAAUGCACACACAUCCUGGUGCCAAUGAAAUAGUGAUGAUGGUGGCAGGUGAAAUCAACGCUGGGCUUUAUAACAACCGAUGCAGUUUAUCAGAACACACUGAAACCAGGAGAUGUUAUNNNNNNNNNNNNNNNNNNNNNNNNNNNNNNNNNNNNNNNNNNNNNNNNNNNNNNNNNNNNNNNNNNNNNNNNNNNNNNNNNNNNNNNNNNNNNNNNNNNNAUUUUGUCAUUAACUCUCAUCUGUCAUAGUAGUCUACGUAGCAUAAGGGAUAAAUUUAUUAUUGAAAUGAGUACUAAUGUGAAUUGUCAACAUAUGAACAUAUUUGUCAUAAUUUUUUUUUUGACUUUUUGUCUUUCCACUCCUAACAUAUGCGUCCCUGAAGAUAAAAUACAAACUUUAAUUCUUGAAAGUAUAAAAAGUACAACAAAUAUAUUUGGACAUUAAUAAUAGAUUGUGACUAAUUAUUAUUAUUAUUCGUUUAUAAUUUAGUGCUCCUAUUCGUUUAGUAUUUAUGCAAUAUAUUUUUUAAAUUUUUUUUAUAUAUAUUUUUAUUAUUUUGAUUUCUUUAUCAAACCUUAAUCUUUGUUGUUAAUUUUUUUUAUCUUAUAUCUUAUAAUUUUAUCAAAUUUUUACUAAAUUUCUCAUUUUUAAUCUUUAAAAUUAUUUAAUAUCUCAAUUUUAACUUAAGUACCCUUAUAUUUAGAUUGAAAAUAAUAUGUUGAGAGUUUUGAGUAGAAAAAAUACAACCGGUCACGAGACUAAAUUUAUUUAUUUAUUUUUAAAAAAAGAAUUUAAUCAACUAUUCUUUUUUUUAAAAAAAAGUCUCACAAAAUUUAAUCAAUUGAGUUACCAUUUAAAAAAAUGAAAGUCUUUUAUUUCUUAAAAUUUUUUGUUUCUUCAAUUAAUUAUUAAUUUUUAUUACGUACUCUUCCACGGUAUGUUAAUCUCAUUAGUAAUAAACCUCUGUACUAGUUUUUUUUUUUGAAGUUAAUCUCAUUAGUUUGAGCAUUAUUGUAUUUUUUAUUUAAAUUUAUUUGGAUUCUUUAUUUGUUAGUAACUGUUUUCAUUUCACUUAUAUUAUGUAUAAUAAAAGUUGUCUCGAGUGAAAGCACAUAAGAUUUAUCCAAAUGAUUCUUUCAUAUUUGAGAUAUAUAUAUACAUUAUAUUGAUUAAGGAAAAAGACUUCUAAUUCCACUUUAGCUCUAUCUAGUUUAAAUUUUGUGAGACUUCUUUUAAAAAAAAAUUGAUUAAAUUCUUUUUUUAAAAUAAAUAAAUAAAUAAAUUUGGUCACGUGACUGAUUGUGUUUUUUCUACUUAAAACACUCAACAUAUUAUUUUCAAUCUAAAUAUAAGGGUACUUAAGUUGGAAUUGAGAUAUGGAAUAAUUUUAAAGAUUAAAAGUGAGAAAUUUAGUAAAAAUUUGAUAAAAUUAUAAGAUAUAAGAUAAAAAAAAUUUAACAGUAAAGAUUAAGGUUUGAUAAGGAAAUUAAAAUAAUAAAUAUAUAUAUAUAUAUAUAUAUAUAUUAAAAGGUAAUUUAAAAAAUAUAUUGCAUAAGUACUAAACGAAUAAGAAUAGUAAAUUACAAACACAUAAUAAUAAUAAUAAUAAUAAUAAUAAUAAUAAUAAUAAUUAGUUAUAAUCUAUUAUUAACGCUCGAUCGAUAUAUUUGUUUUACUUUUUAUAUUUUUGAUGACUAAAUUUUAUAUUUCCAUCCUUCAGGACACAUUUGUCAACAGAGUAGGAAGACGAAAAAUAAAAAAAAAAUAUUAUGACAAAUAUGUCACUAUGCUAACAAUCCACCUUAGCAAUCACUUUAGUGACAAAUAUGUCACUCCAUGUCAGGUUACUUUAUUGACUGUGACAGAUGAAAGUUAAUAAUGUGAUAUACUUAUCGUACUUUUAAAUUUUACAUUUAGGAACACAUUUGUCAAUAAAGUAUAUGUUAAGGGACAAAAGUUGCUAUUUACCUUGAAAUUUACUAUAAGAUAAGAUUCAAAUAUAUUUUUAAUUCUUAACAAAUUUUAAGAUUUUGUAUUUGAAUUUAAAUAUAUUUUUUAAUUUUUGUAUAGAGCUUGCUAUCUCUUUGACUCCUUCCUCAAACUUAUUCUUGUUUGUCCCCAAACAAGUUACCCAAACGCACAACCCCAACAUUAGUAAAAAAAAGUAUUUCCGUGUAUUUAAACAUGAUUAUUAAAAAAAAAUUGUUUUCAUUCAAACAACGGUGACAUUUUUAUUGAUAUUUGUAAAAAGUGCUUGGAGAUUUCUGGGGAUUGAUCUUCUUUGCAAAAAGUGCUUGGAUUUGAAAUUCUUGACGUGUCAUGUCUCAAGGUUUGUUUUGUUGCUUUGUCUCUCAUAAAAGAUUUGUAUAUCUUUGCUGAUUGCUGAUUAACUUUCUCUCUCACAAGGUUAGUGACAUCUUAGAUUCUGCACAACUGAUCUGCGAGCAGGUAAGUUUGUUGAAACUCACUGGUAUUGAAUAACUUUGAUGAUCUUUCCAGGUGAAGAUACUACUUUCAACUGACUGAUAUUCUAUACUACAAAUAUGAAUGAGCUCCUAGUCUCCUUCAGCUGCUGUAGUGCUAGACAGGCAACUGCAUUUUCAUUUACUAAUUUAUUUAUAUAUGUAUUUCAAGAUGAAAAUUAUUUUUUUUAUUGCAGAAUGAAUUGGCCUCCCGUAGAACAGAUGUAGGGAAUAUAUCUUCUUGCUUCUUGUUUCUUUAACUUAUAAUAAUUUCUAACAUCAUAAUCCAAUGAGAAAUAACAACCUUCUGAAACAGAGCUUUCCUUCAUUUUAAUUUGAUAUCAAAGAUAAAACACAAUUAAUUAAAUUGUUGUCCAACUUAAAAAAAGUUCUAUAAUAAUUCUUUUGAGACAUCAUGUUUCGAAGCUUCAAAUGAUAAACUCAAGCUUGUCGAUGCUAUUGUAAUAUAUCAUUUUCAACGAAUCAAUGUUAACAACAUACCAAACAAUUGCUCAUUCAUUCAUUUUUUUUUAAUACCUAUUAAUUUUUAAAACCCUUUUAUUCAUAAAAAUAGGGGAGCAUGUUUUCUCCUUAAAUCAAGAUGGCUAUGAAAUAUACUCAAGUUUCUGAUUCUGGAUGAAAUUAGUCAUAAUAUUGCAGUUGUACUUCUUAUAACAUGAUAAAAAUCUAUUAUAUAUGAACAUCGCGACAUAUAUCAAAUAUUAUUCACAAUAUUUGCAGUGGAAUUUAAAAAUUCUAUAAAAUUCUUUAUGAAAUUCCAUGUUUCAAAUCUUCAAGUUCAAAUGAUAAUAUAUCAUUUUUAACGAAUCAGUGUAAACAACCAAACAAUUGUGCAUGCUCGUCCAGGCAUAGUCAUUUUGGCAAUACCUAUAAACUUUUAAUACUUAUUUAUUAAUUUAAGAAAAAACCCAGGGGAGCGUUUUUUUUCUCUCCGUAAUUCAAUAUGGAUACUGUAGAAAUAGAUCGAGUCUGUUAAUUAUAUUUGCUUCUACAUGAGCAAUACUCUAAAGUUGUAGUAUUAUUGGAUAUGAAGUGUACACACAAAUUUCGAGUUAGCAUUUCAACAUGUGUAGGAGUUUCUACAUUUCCUUCGAUUGGCUUUUCUCUUGUUAAUUACUAUGUGAAUGGUUAAAUAUCCUAUUAUUGUAGGAUCAAUAUAUGUCUUCAUUUUGCUAACUAAUUAAUUAUGUUGACCAUUCUUUCAUGAUUUAUUGUUUGGACUUUGGACUAAAACCUAUACUAGCAAACUUAUUUGAAUAUGAUUUUACAAUAUCAAUGUUCCUCUCUUCUUUGCCACCUUAGCUGAAAAAUUAAAUUAUAUACUUAACGAAAAUAUGAAAGUGAAAAGAAAGACAAAUACAGGGAAUGAAUAACUUGGGAUCACUUCUUGAACAAAGGACAUUUAUUUACCAACUUUCAUCACUACCACAAGAUGAUAAACAAAGUUAGUGAGGAGGAAAGAAUCCCCCUCCACCAGCCUAAAAACAACAUUAUAUAUAUAUAUAUAUAUAUAUAUAUAUAUAUAAGGCACAAAGUUAUACUUUUCCUCAGGAUAGGUGAUGGUUCUGGGGUUUUGGUCUUGGAGGUUGGCUAAGAAAUUUAUUGUGUAUAUAUCAUCUAUCCCUACAAUUCCUCUUGACCUACUUUAUUUAUAAUAUUUGAUCUUUGUUAUUUAUUUGUUUCUCCUAUCUUUUAGGAAUUUGAGCAUGCAAAAAACCGAGGAUCCAAAAUCUAUGCAGAGGUUCGUGGCUAUGGGAUGUCAGGUAGUUUGUCUAAUUGCAGGAUAUGUAGGAUUUUCUUCUAGCCUUAGUUUUAUAUUUGGUUGACUUAUUUCAUGUGGAUUUUGACUAGGUGAUGCAUAUCAUUUAACUCAACCUCCUAGUGAGGGGAGAGGAGCCAUUUUGGCCAUGACUCGUGCUUUAAGACAGGUAUCCUUUAUCUUCUUGCAAUGAUUUGUAUUUUUCAUGCAUCAUUAGAGGUUUUCUGUUGGCUGAGCUUGCAAGCUUAAGCAUAAGCUUACUACUUCACUUUCCAAUAAAAAUUUAAGGUUAUCGUUGGUUUUAAUUUCAGUCCAUAAGGUAUAAAAUGCGGUAUAAUUAAAAGAAUAAAUGGGAGUUAAAAGGCUCAGAGGGACUAAAAAUGGGUUUUUACAAUAGUAGGCUAUAUGUUCCAAGGUAUAAAAACAAGAAAUUGCCUCUUUUAUUAGAAAACUAAAGAAUGGAGAAAAUUCAAGAGAACGACAUCAAAAUUUAAGCAAAGUAGUACCUCGUGGUUUAGCACUAAAUUUAAGAAACAAAUUUAGUUUAAGAUCGACACUCACAACUGGAUGAGGAUUCUCCAUGUGUUUAGAAAAAAAGUAACCUAUGUACAAGAUGCUUGAAAACAUAUCAAUUAAAUUAUUCAAUUUAUUUCUAUCGAUCCACAAAAGGUUCAAUGCCUCAAAAGUGUAAAUUGCAAAAAUAAAUCAAUUGAUCUCAUAUUUUUCUUUUUGGAUCAAUGGAAAAUAUUUACCUAAACAAUUUUAAAUGAAAGAUCUCAAAUUCAAUUAAUUAAGAAAUUAUUUACAACCUAAAAGACUAUUCAUAUUCAAACUUGUGUUCAAUUUCCUUCUUGUAAAAUUUUCUUGGAUAAAUAGCAAUUAGACAUCGCGAAUAAAAUUAGUUUCUAACAAAAAAAAAUACAACAAAAAUAUAAUUCUAUUACACACUUGUACAACAGAAAUAUGAUUCUAUUGCACUCGUGUUACUCUUGUAUUUUUUUUUCUCACCCCCAUUAAUUAUGGAAUGUGAAUACGUUUUUCUUGUAUUUUCAUCUAUGAAACAAUUGGCAAUACAGCUAAAAAGCACUCACAUAAAUAAUGCUAAUAGCAAAAGUGAAAGUGCCAAUAGCAACCCCUCUAGAUAACAUAUCAACAGGGGACAACUUACCUGGGCUAUCCAAUCUCAAAGACUAAAUCGAAGCUUCAUGAGAAGCACGUAAAGGCUCCAUUGGACUAGGAUGACACAAAUGUAAUCAUUGUAUCACGAAAUAAUUAGUUAAUUAUAAGAUGAUGCUCCCAUUUCGACCAUUACAGAAUCGAAGGAAUUGAAUCUUACGAAAUAAACAAACAACCUCUCCAAGUUUGGAUCCCAAUUAGUUAUAUCGAUAGUAGACACCUUUUUUCUUUUUUAAGGAAAACCUCUCCAACUUCAUUGUUUAAAUGACUUUAUUAAUAAAAGUCAUUGGUUUAAAACUCAAUCUAACACGUUUACAUUGUAGAUUGUGGCAGAUCAAAGUCUUCGUCAUAAUGCAUGCGUCUGCUUAAUGUCAACCCACUACUUAAGUUUGAUUUUUAACGUGUUAAUUCUUAAAUUAAUUAAUGAUUAUUUCAUUAAAAAAUGAGUAAACUCUAUUUUUCUCUUUUUAAUAUUCUUAUAUCAUGAUUUUUCAUACAAAAUAUGAUAUUAUUAAUAUUUGUUGCUGAAGCAAGAUAAUUGAUCUCUACCGUGAAUAUCUGGUCUUCUACAAGAAUAAGAAAGAUCUGCACGCAAAUUCAAAAAAAUGAUAUUUUAAUGUCUCUUUGGACAAAACUAGAAAAAUGAUUAAAUAAUUAUUUAUUAAAUUAUUUAUUUCCUACAUUUGCAGGAAAUGAUAGUUAAAUUAGAAUUUAAGUGUACACUCAAGUGCUGCCGCACGUGUUUCAUAUAUAUCAUUCUCCGACUUCAAAUAAAAUACAAUCAGACAUCGCGAAUAAAAUUAGUUUUUAACAGAAAAAAAUACAAUAAAAACACAAUUUUAUUACACACUUGUACAACAGAAAUAUGAUCCUAUUGCACUCGUUCCGUUGUAUUUUUUUUCUCACCCACAUUAAUUUUGGAAUGUGAAUACGUUUUUCUUGUAUUUUCAUCUAUGAAACAAUUGGCAAUACAACUAAAAAGCACUCACAUAAAUAAUGCUAAUAGCAAAAGUGGAAGUGCCAAUAGCAACCCCUCUAGAUAACAUAUCAACAAGGGACAACUUACCUGGGCUUAUCCAAUCUCAAAGACUAAAUCGAAGCUUCAUGAGAAGCACGUAAGGGCUCCAUUGGACUACGAUGACACAAAUGUAAUCAUUGUAUCACGAAAUAAUUAGUUAAUUAUAAGAGGCAAAUUUCCCCCGAAGGGGUCCUUUUACAAACAAAUUCCCAGAAUGGUGUUGUUUUGAAAGUAUUUCCGGGAUGAUGUCUUUUUUUACGUGGGAGGAAUGCAUGACGCCAUCAGGAAUGGCAAGUCCUCCACGGAUGGUCCACGUGGCAGCGGACUCGCCAGGACUAGUGGCGAUUUCAAGCCAACUGGUCUCGCCAGUCAAACUGGUGAGUUGGUCCCUGCAUGUCUCGCCAGACGCAGUGACGAUAAAGCCAUGGGGUGCGCAGGCUAGGGCCAAAACCGCCAAAAGCAUUGGUUCAGUGUAUUCUGAGUGUGUGACAUCGUUCAGCUUAAAUAGUUGGUUCUUCCUCCUAUGAUUUUUGUGUGCAUUUUAAAAGUUUUCUAAACUUCCAAAUUUGCCUUCUGCAACAGUUAUAAAUUCCUGAGCCUUCAAGCUUUCAGAGUUCAAAGUUCAAAAUCAAAAUAAGUGUGUGCCAUGAAAUUUAAAACAUGAGUUAAAAACACUUACAAGGAAGAGGAGCUACGCACGAGCAAGAAGCAACACAAGGAGGAGCAAAUCUUUUUCACUAACAGAAACCAAACACACACUCAGAAUACACACACUCACAAUCUUUUUUUGAACUGGUACGUGAAGGAGUCAAGGAGAGAUCCAUUUAUAGGAGAAAAUGAACAAUUUUUUUUCAAGCUUCUCGCCAGUCAAACUGGCGAGACCGGCAGAAGCGCUAGCCUGGAGGCAUGUCGCCACUACGUCUAGCGAGACAGGGUGCAACUCCCAGUCAAACUGGCGAGUCCAGCUAGCACGAAAUCGCCGCUGGUACUAGCGAUUUUCCCUCCAUGUGUUGCUGCAUGCUCAAAUCGUCAUUGCUGCUGGCGUUUUCUUUGAAAGUUCACAUAAAAAACAAACCCAUCCCGAAAAUUGUUUAGAAAGAGCCCCAUUUUGAGAAUUACUUUGUAAAAGGACCCCUUCGGGGGAAAUUUGCCAUUAUAAGAUGAUGCUCCCAUUUCGACCAUUACAGAAUCAAAGGAACUGAAUCUUACGAAAUAAACAAACAACCUCUUCAAGUUGGGAUCUCAAUUAGUUAUAUUGAUAGUAGACACCUUUUUUUUAAGGAAAACCUCUCCAACUUCAUUGUUUAAAUGACUUUAUUAAUAAAAGUCAUUGGUUUAAAACUCAAUCUAACACGUUUACAUUGUAGAUUGUGGUAGAUCAAAGUCUUCGUCAUGAUGCAUGCGUCUAGUUAAUGUCAACCCACUACUUAAGUUUGAUUUUUAACUUGUUAAUUCUUAAAUUAAUUAAUGAUCAUUUCAUUAAAAAAAUAUGAGUAAACUCCAUUUUUCUCUUUUUAAUAUUUUUAUAUCCUAAUUUUUCAUACAAGAUCUGAUAUUAUUAAUCCCCGUUACUCAAGCAACAUGAUUGAUCUCUACCGUGAAUAUCUGGUCUUCUACAAGAAUAAGAAAAAUCUACAGUAGAUUUAAAAAAAUGAUAUUUUAAUGUCUCUUUGGACAAAAUUAGAAAAAUGAUUAAAUAAUUAUGUAUUAAAUUAUUUAUUUCCUACAUUUGCAGUAGUUAAAUUAAAAUUUAAGUGUACACUCAAGUGCUGCCGCGCGUGUUUCGAAUAACUUGUGCGUGUAGACAUGUUACAGGGGAAUUCUUCAAAUUGAAUUGCAACCAAUUGCUAUGUUGACAAUGCAAAGUAGUAUAAGGAAAAUAUUAAAUAUACACUUAGUUUUUCUUUUAUCUCACUGUCAACCCACAUUUUUCUUUCAGUUUCUUUCUUCAUCUUCAAUCACAUUUGCAUAUCUAUCCGGUAUAAGGAAAAUAUUAAAACCCACAUUAAAUAAUUACAUAUAUCAAUUAAUCUUUAACUAAUUAAUUAUUACUAGUUUAAAUGUGCACCUGUAUUUUAAAAGUAUAAUAAAAAUAUGAUUUUAUUGUUUUCAUUCUAAUGUCCACUCUCACAUGAAUAUGAUACAGCCACUAGUUAAUUUUGCUUGGUGGUUCACGUUACACGUUAGUCUGAUUCUCAUAUAUAAAAUAAAACAAGAUGUAAUUAGAUAUAGUACGAUCCUAACUCAAGGAUUUAGGGGUACAUGCAGCAAGGCCAUAGGCCAUGUAUCUUCAGCGUGUAAGAAUAGCUUUAUAAAUAGAUAGCCAAUUCCACAUUACCUUCACACCAAAUCCAUUCAUCCAAGUUCCAAGAUGAAGAUGAUUCACUUUCUUUUCCUCUUUGCUCUUGUCUCGUUCACUUCCCAUGCUUCUGUCAAUGAUUUCUGUGUAGCAGACCUAAAAGGUCCAGAUAGCCCUUCAGGCUAUCAGUGCAAGCCACCUAACACAGUCACAGUGGAUGACUUUGUGUUCUCUGGCUUUGUAGCUGGAAACACCACAAACACUUUCAAUGCUGCAUUAACCUCCGCAUUUGUUACUGAUUUUCCAGGUGUGAAUGGUCUUGGUGUAUCUGCGGCACGGUUAGACAUAGCCAAAGGUGGAUCAAUCCCAAUGCACACACACCCUGCUGCCACUGAACUUCUAAUAAUGGUGGAAGGUCAAAUCACUGCUGGUUUUAUGACCCCAACUGCACUUUAUACCAAGACACUGAAACCUGGAGAUAUUAUGGUUUUUCCACAAGGACAGUUGCAUUUUCAGGUUAAUUCUGGAAACGGAAAAGCCACUGCUUUUCUGGCAUUCAGUAGUGCAAACCCUGGAGCACAACUACUUGACCUUCUGUUAUUUGGCAACACCUUGCCUUCUGACUUGGUUGCACAAACUACCUUCCUUGAUGUUGCACAAGUCAAGAAACUUAAGGCUCGUUUCGGUGGCAGAGGCUAGGAAUAUUAUUGCUCAUGAAUUUAUUCCUAUCUAAUGUUUGUUGCUAUUUAUAGUCCAUAAUAAUGCCUGUGUAUGCCCUUGCCUUUUCCAUU
RNAcentral lists this long non-coding RNA (23309 nucleotides) under Glycine max (soybean). RNAcentral describes it as "long non-coding RNA (GMAX_LNC001402)". The record is from RNAcentral. Lineage: Eukaryota; Viridiplantae; Streptophyta; Magnoliopsida; Fabales; Fabaceae.